GGUUAAGUUAGAAAGGGCGCACGGUGAAUGCCUUGGCACUAGGAGCCGAUGAAGGACGGGACUAACACCGAUAUGCUUCGGGGAGCUGUAAGUGAGCUUUGAUCCGGAGAUUUCCGAAUGGGGAAACCCACUGUUCGUAAUGGAACAGUAUCUUUAUCUGAAUACAUAGGAUAUUGAAGGCAGACCCGGGGAACUGAAACAUCUAAGUACCCGGAGGAAGAGAAAGCAAAUGCGAUUUCCUGAGUAGCGGCGAGCGAAACGGAAUUAGCCCAAACCAAGAGGCUUGCCUCUUGGGGUUGUAGGACACUCUAUACGGAGUUACAAAGGAACGAAGUAAAUGAAGCGACCUGGAAAGGUCCGUCGAAGAAGGUAACAACCCUGUAGUUGAAACUUCGUUCCCUCUUGAGUGGAUCCUGAGUACGGCGGAACACGUGAAAUUCCGUCGGAAGCUGGGAGGACCAUCUCCCAAGGCUAAAUACUACCUAGUGACCGAUAGUGAACCAGUACCGUGAGGGAAAGGUGAAAAGCACCCCGGAAGGGGAGUGAAAGAGAUCCUGAAACCGUGUGCCUACAAGUAGUCAGAGCCCGUUAACGGGUGAUGGCGUGCCUUUUGUAGAAUGAACCGGCGAGUUACGAUCCCAUGCAAGGUUAAGCUGAUAAGGCGGAGCCGUAGCGAAAGCGAGUCUGAAUAGGGCGUUUAGUAUGUGGUUGUAGACCCGAAACCAGGUGAUCUACCCAUGUCCAGGGUGAAGUUCAGGUAACACUGAAUGGAGGCCCGAACCCACGCACGUUGAAAAGUGCGGGGAUGAGGUGUGGGUAGCGGAGAAAUUCCAAUCGAACCUGGAGAUAGCUGGUUCUCUCCGAAAUAGCUUUAGGGCUAGCCUCAUGUUGUGAGAGUCUUGGAGGUAGAGCACUGAUUGGACUAGGGGCCCCCAACGGGUUACCGAAUUCAGUCAAACUCCGAAUGCCAAAGACUUAUCCAUGGGAGUCAGACUGCGAGUGAUAAGAUCCGUAGUCAAAAGGGAAACAGCCCAGACCACCAGCUAAGGUCCCCAAGUAUACGUUAAGUGGAAAAGGAUGUGGAGUUGCUUAGACAACCAGGAUGUUGGCUUAGAAGCAGCCACCAUUUAAAGAGUGCGUAAUAGCUCACUGGUCGAGUGACUCUGCGCCGAAAAUGUACCGGGGCUAAACGUAUCACCGAAGCUGUGGAUUGACAUCUUAGAUGUCAGUGGUAGGAGAGCGUUCUAAGUGCAGCGAAGUCAGACCGUAAGGACUGGUGGAGCGCUUAGAAGUGAGAAUGCCGGUAUGAGUAGCGAAAGACAAGUGAGAAUCUUGUCCACCGAAUGCCUAAGGUUUCCUGAGGAAGGCUCGUCCGCUCAGGGUUAGUCGGGACCUAAGCCGAGGCUGAAAAGCGUAGGCGAUGGCCAACAGGUUGAUAUUCCUGUACCACCUCCCCGCCGUUUGAGUAAUGGGGGGACGCAGUAGGAUAGGGUAAGCGCGCUGCUGGAUAUGCGCGUUCAAGCAGUUAGGCUGAUGAGUAGGCAAAUCCGCUCAUCAUAAAGGCUGAGCUGUGAUGACGAGGGAAUUAUAGUACCGAAGUUCCUGAUUCCACACUGCCAAGAAAAGCCUCUAGCGAGGCGGGAGGUGCCCGUACCGCAAACCGACACAGGUAGGCGAGGAGAGAAUCCUAAGGUGAUCGAGAGAACUCUCGUUAAGGAACUCGGCAAAAUGACCCCGUAACUUCGGGAGAAGGGGUGCUCUGGUAGGGUGUAUAGCCCGAGAGAGCCGCAGUGAAUAGGCCCAGGCGACUGUUUAGCAAAAACACAGGUCUCUGCGAAGCCGCAAGGCGAAGUAUAGGGGCUGACGCCUGCCCGGUGCUGGAAGGUUAAGAGGAGGGGUUAUCCUUUGGGAGAAGCUCUGAAUCGAAGCCCCAGUAAACGGCGGCCGUAACUAUAACGGUCCUAAGGUAGCGAAAUUCCUUGUCGGGUAAGUUCCGACCCGCACGAAAGGCGUAACGAUCUGGGCACUGUCUCAACGAGAGACUCGGUGAAAUUAUAGUACCUGUGAAGAUGCAGGUUACCCGCGACAGGACGGAAAGACCCCGUGGAGCUUUACUGUAGCCUGAUAUUGAAUUUUGGUACAGCUUGUACAGGAUAGGUAGGAGCCUGAGAAGCCGGAGCGCUAGCUUCGGUGGAGGCGUCGGUGGGAUACUACCCUGGCUGUAUUGAAAUUCUAACCCGCGGCCCUGAUCGGGCCGGGAGACAGUGUCAGGUGGGCAGUUUGACUGGGGCGGUCGCCUCCUAAAAUGUAACGGAGGCGCCCAAAGGUUCCCUCAGAAUGGUUGGAAAUCAUUCGUAGAGUGUAAAGGCACAAGGGAGCUUGACUGCGAGACCUACAAGUCGAGCAGGGACGAAAGUCGGGCUUAGUGAUCCGGUGGUUCCGCAUGGAAGGGCCAUCGCUCAACGGAUAAAAGCUACCCCGGGGAUAACAGGCUUAUCUCCCCCAAGAGUCCACAUCGACGGGGAGGUUUGGCACCUCGAUGUCGGCUCAUCGCAUCCUGGGGCUGUAGUCGGUCCCAAGGGUUGGGCUGUUCGCCCAUUAAAGCGGUACGCGAGCUGGGUUCAGAACGUCGUGAGACAGUUCGGUCCCUAUCCGUCGUGGGCGUAGGAAAUUUGAGAGGAGCUGUCCUUAGUACGAGAGGACCGGGAUGGACACACCGCUGGUGUACCAGUUGUCUUGCCAAAGGCAUCGCUGGGUAGCUAUGUGUGGACGGGAUAAGUGCUGAAAGCAUCUAAGCAUGAAGCCCCCCUCAAGAUGAGAUUUCCCAUAGCGCAAGCUAGUAAGAUCCCUGAAAGAUGAUCAGGUUGAUAGGUCAGAGGUGGAAGCGUGGCGACACGUGUAGCUGACUGAUACUAAUCGAUCGAGGACUUAACCAA
This 2936-nucleotide ribosomal RNA is filed under the name Priestia megaterium. RNAcentral describes it as "23S ribosomal RNA". It matches the Rfam family "Bacterial large subunit ribosomal RNA". The record is from RNAcentral. Lineage: Bacteria; Bacillati; Bacillota; Bacilli; Caryophanales; Bacillaceae.